UGAGGUCUCUGAGCCCCCUGGGCAAGGUCUCAAGCCCUCUAGGGCAGCCAGAGGGAUUUCCUGGGUUCCCACAAGAGCCAAUAAAGGAGAUUUUCCCCAAGUGCAGGGAAGGAUGAGCAGCACCCACAGAAUGCAAGCUUUGAGUUCUGCUCUCUACCGAGGCUAAAACACAAUGCCCAGUCCAAGGGGAGGUGUCAAACCCAGGAAAUAUCGAAUUAACCCAUGCAGGAGGCUGAUUCCACCCUGCAGCUGGGACCAGGGACGUGUUUCAGCAUUUCCCACCCGUCUGGGGAUGCUCAGCUUGCACAUCCUCUGGUAAAGGUCACGGUCUGUUUCAGCUCCUAAACCAAAAGCAAAACCAGCCCGGCUGAGGAAUUCACGUCAGCAUUUCUGGGGCAGGAAAUGGUGAAUGGUGAAUGAUGAGUGCAGCACCAGGCCGUGACCUCCUCCCUUCCAUCCCCUGCAGAUGAUGACAUCCAAAUUCUCCUGGGACUGAGCCUCAGCGUGGUCGGAUUAUCCGUUCUUUUUGCAGUUGUGAUGUUUAAAAAGUCAGUCAGGAAAAGGGUCAAGGCCGCCCUCCUGUCCCUCUUGCCAAGGUGGAUGUUUGAGGACUUUCCCCACAUGGAGAACAGCACCGUGGUGAAGUCACUCCAGGACAAGGCUGAUUUCCC
Non-coding RNA from Zonotrichia albicollis (white-throated sparrow), 671 nucleotides. Lineage: Eukaryota; Metazoa; Chordata; Aves; Passeriformes; Passerellidae. The record is from RefSeq and is a predicted model, not a curated record.